Molecule: ribosomal RNA, 1685 nt
Filed under: Triticum aestivum (bread wheat)
Lineage: Eukaryota; Viridiplantae; Streptophyta; Magnoliopsida; Poales; Poaceae
Description: partial small subunit ribosomal RNA
Source: RNAcentral
AUUUUUUGAGCGGGGCCCCGACACACACACCCACACCCCCCACAGCUCCGGGGCUCUGUUCAAACCGUCAGCGGUGAAGAGUUUCGCUUCUUUCUUUGUAGGUCUUUUCUUUCGCUCUCUUCGCGAGUUCACCACUGAGCAGCCGGUACCGUGUCAGCAGCCGCCGCCGCUCCUUCGGGAGCCGUCGCGGUUGGCAGCAGGACUGAGAACAGGACCGGGAGCGGAGGCGCCCGGAGGAGAAGGAGGAUCAGGUGGAAAGGGGAAGCAGCGGUAGGCGCGUGGGCGUGGGGGUGGCGGCGGAGGCGGACGCGCCACGGGUGGAGUCCGUGCCUCCGCGGUGGGGCGUGGUCUAGGGCAAGCUGGGGCAGUAGCGCCUGGAGCUCGCGGCGGAACUGCUGGCGCUCACCCUCGCGGACCGACGGCGCCCCGACGUGCGCGGCCCGUACCUCAGACGGGGGCAGGGUCUCCUGGAGCGCCUGAUGCUCCUGCUCAUGUAGUUACUGCGGCGCGCCAAGUUGUACUGCGACGCGCACCGCCGCGAGAAGGGGUUCUAGCUGCAGCUGGGGCGGCUGCUGCGGCACUGCCCGCGGCUCGACCGGCGCACCUUAGAGCGCAGGCGCGCCGCCCUCCACGACGUGGCGUGGCGGGCCCUCGAGCUGUACGUGCUGGCGCUGGUGCUGCCGGCGCAGCGGAAGAGGCUCAUGCUCUCCGGGUCGACCCGAACCGCCAAGCUGCUAUUAUUGAGUUGGUCACUACCCUACCCUACCACCUUCCUCCCCGUAAAGUUACGACGACUAUACCUACCACUGCCGAAAGAUUUAGACUGCCUCAAAUUGCUAAAGAAUGUAGGUCGACUAUGAUGGUUGGAUUUCGAUUAUGUAACCAACACGUUUCUUCUUCAGUCCCUUUCUCUGUUUCUAUUACUGCCCUUCGAGUUAAAGGUUCUCAAAAUAUUACCUAACAAAAUAAGUCAAGCUGUAAUGCUACUACUUUGAAGUUGUCUACUGAGGUUACCGAGACUACGUGGCCGAUCUUUCAGCAAAAGUGUCGAACUAGACCUAUUACUACCCGAAAACACUCGUCUGCUCGAUUUUGGAUAGUAGCCUUUUGAGGUAGGUCGUCUUUUGAAGAUACGGUUCGUUGUUCGACUGAUACACUAUAGUGUCCGACUGUGUUUGUUUCUGCCUGUUGACUCAAACUUACUCUACUAACUCUUGGGGAUACAUAAAAUGUCACGAAAUAAGUGUCUUCUACUAAUACCCAGAGUACUGCUCGAGGCCAUCAAGGAACUUCAUCUACCAUAAGUCCUGGAAACUUGCGAACCAAUCUGUAACGACGCCUAUAUAUAGAAGUUACUAGACAACCGGGGUAGAUGACGGAACGGUUCGUGUAAAGUGCCGUGUUCGCACGUAAAGGUGUGCGGACAAAAUCGUUGUCUCGUAAGUAAACAAUGUAAUUCUCAAGAACUUAAUCAAAGUACAAAACGUACCGUUCAAUCGUAACCAAGAAGGUAUAUAUCAAAAACCACACGUUUUCAUCCAACAACAAGGUCCUAGUGUGUGAACAUUUGAUACUUUUGGUCCUUCCACGUCGACAUCCCGAACAUACAUACAUACAUUGACCGUAAGGACUUGGGAUAGACAUUUGUAACACUUCAAUACAAGAUACUUUCACUAAGAUAAGAG